Molecule: non-coding RNA, 152 nt
Organism: Trichinella spiralis
Lineage: Eukaryota; Metazoa; Nematoda; Enoplea; Trichinellida; Trichinellidae
Source: Rfam
CACUGUUAACGGUGGAUCACUUGGCUCGUACGUCGAUGAAAAACGAGGCGAGACUCGAAAGUUUAUGUGAAUUGCAGCCACGUUGAACAUAGAAAUUUUGAACGCACAUUGCGGUGUUGAGUUGACUCGACGCCGCGUCUGUCUGAGGGUCG